RNAcentral lists this ribosomal RNA (253 nucleotides) under uncultured bacterium. Its description in RNAcentral is "partial 16S ribosomal RNA". It matches the Rfam family "Bacterial small subunit ribosomal RNA", at positions 524 to 776 of the family's 1533-position model. The record is from RNAcentral.
UACGGGGGGGGCAAGCGUUGUUCGGAAUUACUGGGCGUAAAGGGCGCGUAGGCGGCCUUCUAAGUCGGACGUGAAAUCCCUCGGCUUAACCGAGGAACUGCGUCCGAUACUGAAAGGCUUGAAUCCGGAAGAGGCGAGUGGAAUUCCCGGUGUAGCGGUGAAAUGCGCAGAUAUCGGGAGGAACACCUAUGGCGAAGGCAGCUCGCUGGGACGUUACUGACGCUGAGACGCGAAAGCGUGGGGAGCAAACAGG